CUCCGCGCCACCGGAGUUAAUCUAUAUAUAAAAAUGGAGGCCCAAAGACUCUUACCGAUGAUUGAUGAACCCGUUGGUGGAUUUGCUUUGUUAUGCAACAAAGGUGAAUUUGAGCCUUUGAAUCCCAAUUUGUUUGCCUCAUUUAUUGAUGGUUGUUUGUGUUGCUGGGGUAAGCGUACAGCAAGUGAAGUUACCAAUGUAACUGGAGAGUAUCCAUUCCCAUCUUGAGAGAAUGGAAUACAGCAGCUGAGGCUUAGCGAGAGCACUAACUGAAACUUUGAAGAGCUAAGAUAUAUUGAUCGAAUGUGCAGCGACGACACUAGUGUAAACUGUAACGUUCUGCCUAUCUAUAGUGGUGUUGCAGGUUUCGUGCGAAUAGCAGGCGGCUGAAGAGGGCAAUGGUUGGAGAAAUGGGAGAAGAGGAGGUUCCCGUGGAUGAAGACGCUGUUGAACAUGAUAGUGUGUAAUGUUUCUUCUGUUUUAGAAGAUUGCAAAGUAAUAGCUAAAAAACAGAAGCUUAUGAUCAUUUGAUAUGCUUUGACCCACUCAGGAAUUCAACCACCAGUUCUAGUAAUAUAAGCUUCAUUGGAGUUUGAGCAGUUACUCGUCUUCUUCCUCUGUGAAUUCUCCAGUAUCCACGGCUUUGCUUCUCAGAACUAACUCCUAAAGAUAAAGAACACACCAAGAAGACAAAACAGUUUAAAAAGCUCUCCUCUUUCCUUCUCCAUUGUUAAAGAAAGCACAGAAGUUGAGCUGAAUUUAAGAACUGUGCAGGGGAUCACAGCAGAUUCGGAUUUUUUGAUGCUUAAGCUCUGAAACAUUAUGGAAGCAGCAGAGAUGGUAAAGUGAUUUAUGCCUUCAAUCAGAGUUUAGAAGAUCAAGGCUUUCUUCUCUUUUCCAUGUUCUGUACAUGUAUCUUCAUCAAAAUUGCACUUAACCUCCCUUUAAAAAGAAAAAAAAGGGAAUUAAUUUGGUUGAGACAUAUUGUUGUAAUUUCAUUGUGAUAAUGUGUUAAUUGUUCUCUGCUUAAUUCAAAGCAAGAGAUCCCUGCAAGUCUUUAGUCUUCCAUGAAACUUUUUUCCGAAGAA
Molecule: long non-coding RNA, 1088 nt
Organism: Dendrobium catenatum
Lineage: Eukaryota; Viridiplantae; Streptophyta; Magnoliopsida; Asparagales; Orchidaceae
Exons: 4
Source: RefSeq, a predicted model, not a curated record